RNAcentral lists this ribosomal RNA (470 nucleotides) under uncultured bacterium. Its description in RNAcentral is "bacterial SSU rRNA". It matches the Rfam family "Bacterial small subunit ribosomal RNA", at positions 27 to 507 of the family's 1533-position model. The record is from RNAcentral.
GGACGAACGCUGGCGGCGUGCCUAACACAUGCAAGUCGAGCGGAGACAGUGAGUAGCUUGCUAUGAGCUGUUUUAGCGGCGGACGGGUGAGUAACGCGUGAGCAACCUUUCCCAGACAGGGGAAUAACACACCGAAAGGUGUACUAAUACCGCAUAAGACCACGGGAUCACAUGGUUCUGGGGUAAAAGAUUUAUCGGUUUGGGGUGGGCUCGCGUCCGAUUAGGUAGUUGGUGAGGUAACGGCCCACCAAGCCGACGAUCGGUAGCCGACCUGAGAGGGUGACCGGCCACAUUGGGACUGAGACACGGCCCAAACUCCUACGGGAGGCAGCAGUGGGGAAUAUUGCACAAUGGGCGCAAGCCUGAUGCAGCAACGCCGCGUGGAGGAAGACGGUUUUCGGAUUGUAAACUCCUGUUCUUAGUGAAGAAUAAUGACGGUAGCUAAGGAGCAAGCCACGGCUAACUACGUG